GGCUGGGUAGCUUAGUGGGAAAGCACAGGAUUCAUAUCCCUGGGAGCGUGAGUUCGAUCCUCACCCCAGCCA
Molecule: transfer RNA, 72 nt
Filed under: Candidatus Blackburnbacteria bacterium RIFCSPHIGHO2_01_FULL_44_64
Lineage: Bacteria; Candidatus Blackburniibacteriota
Also listed under: 4 other names
Description: tRNA-Met
Rfam family: tRNA
About the family: Transfer RNA (tRNA) molecules are approximately 80 nucleotides in length.
Source: RNAcentral